Molecule: transfer RNA, 88 nt
Filed under: Nonlabens ulvanivorans
Lineage: Bacteria; Pseudomonadati; Bacteroidota; Flavobacteriia; Flavobacteriales; Flavobacteriaceae
Description: tRNA-Ser
Rfam family: tRNA
About the family: Transfer RNA (tRNA) molecules are approximately 80 nucleotides in length. Their secondary structure includes four short double-helical elements and three loops (D, anti-codon, and T loops). Further hydrogen bonds mediate the characteristic L-shaped molecular structure. tRNAs have two regions of fundamental functional importance: the anti-codon, which is responsible for specific mRNA codon recognition, and the 3' end, to which the tRNAs corresponding amino acid is attached (by aminoacyl-tRNA synthetases). tRNAs cope with the degeneracy of the genetic code in two manners: having more than one tRNA (with a specific anti-codon) for a particular amino acid; and 'wobble' base-pairing, i.e. permitting non-standard base-pairing at the 3rd anti-codon position.
Source: RNAcentral
GGAGAAGUGGCAGAGUGGUCGAAUGCACUGGUCUUGAAAACCAGCGAGGGUCACACCUCCAGGGGGGGUUCGAAUCCCUUCUUCUCCG